GACGAACGCUGGCGGCGUGCCUAAUACAUGCAAGUAGAACGCUGAAGCGAGGAGCUUGCUCUUCUUGGAUGAGUUGCGAACGGGUGAGUAACGCGUAGGUAACCUGCCUUGUAGCGGGGGAUAACUAUUGGAAACGAUAGCUAAUACCGCAUAACAAUGGAUGACACAUGUCAUUUAUUUGAAAGGGGCAAUUGUUCCACUACAAGAUGGACCUGCGUUGUAUUAGCUAGUAGGUGAGGUAAUGGCUCACCUAGGCGACGAUACAUAGCCGACCUGAGAGGGUGAUCGGCCACACUGGGACUGAGACACGGCCCAGACUCCUACGGGAGGCAGCAGUAGGGAAUCUUCGGCAAUGGGGGCAACCCUGACCGAGCAACGCCGCGUGAGUGAAGAAGGUUGUCGGAUCGUAAAGCUCUGUUGUAAGUCAAGAACGGGUGUGAGAGUGGAAAGUUCACACUGUGACGGUAGCUGACCAGAAAGGGACGGCUAACUACGUG
RNAcentral lists this ribosomal RNA (497 nucleotides) under uncultured bacterium. RNAcentral's name for it is "partial 16S ribosomal RNA". It matches the Rfam family "Bacterial small subunit ribosomal RNA", at positions 28 to 507 of the family's 1533-position model. The record is from RNAcentral.